UCAAUAUCAUCCGUUCGAUUAUGCUGAGAUUAAAUCUGGGCCGUUUAAACUCUUAAUUUUAACCGCUGUUGAAGGCAGUUCUAAGCGGUUACUUGCAGCAAGCAUGUUUUUCUGUCCAUUGGUGGUACCUGCUGUAGUUGUGUUCUUCUAUAUAAUGAGAACUUGAGAAGCAGUCUUCAUCGUUCACUCAUUUUUUGUCUGAAAUAAUCACAGCAUGGAUCACUCAGAAAACUUGUCUGUUUCAUCAUUUCGAUCUCCAAUCACCAGAACUUGUUAAGGCAACAAGGGCAUCUGUUUCAUUGUUUCGAGUAGUAGAUCUUGCAGAAAACUUGUCUGACUCUGAUCUUGUCAAACUCGGAUUAGAAACGGUUGAAACCGGAGAAUCAGACAUAUCAAUAUAUCAUGAUAAUGUUGUUGUUGUCUCUCAAUAUCAUUUGUGACAUCAAUAACGCGCUCCCUGUAGUCGAACAUGUUAUAAGAAGAUCUAGGGACUUGCAUAGUGCUAGCUUGACUUUCUGACUUUCUGUGUGUGGGAUUUCUUUGACUUUCUAGAUUCUAAAGUCAGCUCUAGAUUCGACUUCGAAUUCCCGUUACAAGGGCUGAUGAUUUCUUCAUUAGAUGAGUUAUUUCUAAGUGAUUCAAGAGACUGGAAAGGUGGUAACAUGUUCUUCACUUCAUGUUGCAAGCAAGUUUGUAAUGUUUUGUGCGAAGAUGGCCAAUUAUGAGCGAUGUUCGUGCUACGCAAAUCGAAUACACAGUCU
RNAcentral lists this long non-coding RNA (761 nucleotides) under Helianthus annuus (common sunflower). RNAcentral describes it as "sRNA HanXRQr2_Chr10g0438981". Lineage: Eukaryota; Viridiplantae; Streptophyta; Magnoliopsida; Asterales; Asteraceae. The record is from RNAcentral.